RNAcentral lists this long non-coding RNA (2243 nucleotides) under Macaca fascicularis (crab-eating macaque). Its description in RNAcentral is "lncRNA (ENSMFAG00000056913.1)". The record is from RNAcentral. Lineage: Eukaryota; Metazoa; Chordata; Mammalia; Primates; Cercopithecidae.
UUCUUUAUUAGUCUUGCUAGCAGUCUAUCAAUUUUGUUGAUCUUUUCAAAAAACCAACUUCUGGAUUCAUUGAUUUUUUGGAGGGUUUUUUGUGUCUCUAUCUCCUUCAGUUCUGCUCUGAUCUUAGUUAUUUAUUGCCUUCUGCUAGAUUUUGAAUGUGUUUGCUCUUGCUUCUCUAGUUCUUUUAAUUGUGAUGUUAGAGCAUCAAUUUUAGAUCUUUCCUGCUUUCUCUUGUGGAUAUUUAGUGCUAUAAAUUUCCCUCUACACACUGCUUUAAAUGUGUCCCAGAGAUUCUGGUAUGUGGUAUCUUUGUUCUCAUUGGUUUCAAAGAACAUCUUUAUUUCUGCCUUCAUUUCGUUAUGUACCCAGUAGUCAUUCAGGAGCAGGUUAUUCAGUUUCCAUGUAGUUGAGUGGUUUUGAUUGAGUUUCUUAGUCCUGAGUUCUAGUUUGAUUGCACUGUGGUCUGAGAGACAGUUUGUUAUAAUUUCUGUUCUUGUACAUUUGCUGAGGAGUGCUUUACUUCCAAUUAUGUGGUCAAUUUUGGAAUAAGUGUGAUGUGGUGCUGAGUAGAAUGUAUAUUCUGUUGAUUUGGGGUGGAGUGUUCUGUAGAUGUCUAUUAGGUCUGCUUGCUGCAGAGAUGAGUUCAAUUCCUGGAUAUCCUUGUUAACUUUCUGUCUCGUUGAUCUGUCUAAUGUUGACAGUGGGGUGUUGAAGUCUCCCAUUAUUACUGUAUGGGAGUCUAAGUCUCUUUGUAAGUCUCUAAGGACUUGCUUUAUGAAUCUGGGUGCUCCUGUAUUGGGUGCAUAUAUAUUUAGGAUAGUUAGUUCUUCCUGUUGAAUUGAUCCCUUUACCAUUACGUAAUGGCCUUCUUUGUCCUUCAUCUUUGAUGGUUUAAAGUCUGUUUUAUCAGAGACUAGUAUUGCAACCCCUGCUUUUUUUGGUUCUCCAUUUGCUUGGUAGAUCUUCCUCCAUCCCUUUAUUUUGAGUCUAUGUAUGUCUCUGCAUGUGAGAUGGGUCUCCUGAAUACAGAAAACUGAUGGGUCUUGACUCUUUAUCCAGUUUGCCAAUCUGUGUCUUUUAAUUGGAUCAUUUAGUCCAUUUACAUUUAAGGUUAAUAUUGUUAUGUGUGAACUUGAUCCUGCCAUUAUGAUAUUAACUGGUUAUUUUGCUCGUUAGUUGAUGCAGUUUCUUCCUAGCCUCGAUGGUCUUUACAUUUUGGCAUGUUUUUGCAAUGGCUGGUACCGGUUGUUGCUUUCCAUGUUCAGUGCUUCCUUCAGGGUCUCUUGUAAGGCAGGCCUGGUGGUGACAAAAUCUCUAAGCAUUUGCUUAUCUGUAAAGGAUUUUAUUUCUCCCUCACUUAUGAAACUUAGUUUGGCUGGAUAUGAAAUUCUGGGUUUAAAAUUCUUUACUUUAAGAAUGUUGAAUAUUGGCCCCCACUCUCUUCUGGAUUGUAGAGUUUCUGCCAAGAGAUCUGCUGUUAGUCUGAUGGGCUUCCCUUUGUGGGUAACCCGACCUUUCUCUCUGGUUGCCCUUAAGAUUUUUUCCUUCAUUUCAACUUUGGUGAAUCUGGCAAUUAUGUGUCUUGGAGUUGCUCUUCUUGAGGAGUAUCUUUGUGGCGUUCUCUGUAUUUCCUGAAUUUGAAUGUUGGCCUGCCCUGCUAGGUUGGGGAAGUUCUCCUGGAUGAUAUCCUGACGAGUGUUUUCCAACUUGGUUCCAUUUUCCCUCUCACUUUCAGGCACCCCAAUCAGAUGUAGAUUUGGUCUUUUUACAUAAUCCCAUACUUCUUGCAGGCUUUGUUCAUUUCUUUUUCUUCUUUUUUCUUUAGGUUUCUCUUCUCGCUUCAUUUCAUUCAUUUGAUCCUCAAUUGCUGAUACUCUUUCUUCCAGAUGAUCGAGUCGGUUACUGAAGCUUGUGCAUUUGUCAUGUAUUUCUCAUGUCAUGGUUUUCAUCUCUGUUAAUUCGUUUAUGGCCUUCUCUGCAUUAAUUAUUCUAGUUAUCAAUUCUUCCACUCUUUUUUCAAGAUUUUUAGUUUCUUUGCUUUGGAAUGCGUAAUUCCUCCUUUAGCUCUGAGAAGUUUGAUGGACUGGAGCCUUUUUCUCUCAUCUCGUCAAAGUCAUUCUCCGUCCAGCUUUGAUCCCUUGCUGGCGAUGAGCUGCGUUCCUUUGCAGGGGGCGAUGCGCUCUUAUUUUUUGAAUUUCCAGCUUUUCUGCCCUGCUUUUUCCCAUCCUUGUGGUUGUAUCUGC